GACGAACGCUGGCGGCGUGCCUAAUACAUGCAAGUCGAACGAAGCUGUUUUAACUGGUGCUUGCACCGACUUAAACAACUGAGUGGCGAACGGGUGAGUAACACGUGGGUAACCUGCCCCAAAGCGGGGGAUAACAUUUGGAAACAGAUGCUAAUACCGCAUAAUCACAGAAACCACAUGGUUUCUGUGUCAAAGAUGGUUUCGGCUAUCACUUUGGGAUGGACCCGCGGCGUAUUAGCUAGUUGGUAAGGUAAUGGCUUACUAAGGCAAUGAAACGUCGCGGAACUAAGGGGUUGAUCGGCCACAUUGGGACUGAGACACGGCCCAAACUCCUACGGGAGGCAGCAGUAGGGAAUCUUCCACAAUGGACGAAAGUCUGAUGGAGCAACGCCGCGUGAGUGAAGAAGGUUUUCGGAUCGUAAAACUCUGUUGUCAGAGAAGAACGUGUGCGAGAGUAACUGUUCGUGCAGUGACGGUAUCUGGCCAGAAAGCCACGGCUAACUACGUGCCAGCAGCCGCCGUAA
RNAcentral lists this ribosomal RNA (524 nucleotides) under uncultured bacterium. RNAcentral's name for it is "partial 16S ribosomal RNA". It matches the Rfam family "Bacterial small subunit ribosomal RNA", at positions 28 to 523 of the family's 1533-position model. The record is from RNAcentral.